UACAGAGGUCUCAACCGUUGUUCGGAUUUACUGGGCGUAAAGGGCGCGUAGGCGGCCAGCGCAAGUCAGUUGUGAAAUCUCCGGGCUUAACUCGGAACGGUCAACUGAUACUGCGCGGCUAGAGUGCAGAAGGGGCAACUGGAAUUCUCGGUGUAGCGGUGAAAUGCGUAGAUAUCGAGAGGAACACCUGCGGCGAAGGCGGGUUGCUGGGCUGACACUGACGCUGAUGCGCGAAAGCCAGGGGAGCGAACGGG
RNAcentral lists this ribosomal RNA (254 nucleotides) under uncultured bacterium. RNAcentral describes it as "partial 16S ribosomal RNA". It matches the Rfam family "Bacterial small subunit ribosomal RNA", at positions 524 to 776 of the family's 1533-position model. The record is from RNAcentral.